This 374-nucleotide long non-coding RNA is filed under the name Mytilus galloprovincialis (Mediterranean mussel). The record is from RNAcentral. Lineage: Eukaryota; Metazoa; Mollusca; Bivalvia; Mytilida; Mytilidae.
UAUUAUAUUUAAGGGGGUUCGCGGGUCUAAAUCAUUUAUAUAGGAUUUCUCUAUAUUUUUCUAUAAAUGAACUUUAUCUUAUAGUUAAUAAGAAAAAUAAAUAAAAAAUGGGUCACCGUCAUUUGCGCUUACAACUGCCUUCGAAAGAGCAUACAUCUUUGUAAAAGUGAUUAUUUUCAGUUGAACUAAUAGGAGAAAUAAAGGUAAUAUGGAAAUAAAAAAAGAAAUUUAUUACAGAAUUCGCUCAAAUUUUACAAUAAUUUAGUUUAAGUACAGCAUAUAUCGAAAUUAUAUUAAAAAAUAUAGGUCACCGAUGAGUAAAAAGAGAUAUUUCAAUUUUAAAGCCAAAAAAUGGCAUUUUUCCACAAAGGAGA